UUCUCCCAUUCCAGAAAUGAUUGUCUGCCCAUUCCCUGGGUCCAAGCCAACACGGAAUGUAGGGUCCUCUCUUUGGAAGCGGUUCAAAGCUUUCGAAAAUUGCUCUCCAGAAUCUUUUGAGACAGGUUGUACAGCUAAAGACAUCGCAGGUUUAGGUACAUCAUAGAAGUCAUUGUGUAUUUAACCGACCCAUCAGUAAAAGUAUCUCCUUGGCUUGCUGUUUGUAUUAAUGUGGAGCUUCUGCGGUUUUUGCAGGUUGCAGUUUUGGGUUUAUGUUAUACACGUUUGGAUUUGGCUUGCAGCAGGUACUAGACUUAUAGCAGGCGGCGACAACAGAACAAACCAUGUAUUCAAUUGCAUUUCCCUGGCGCACAUGGACUCUUGUUCACACUGACGGCACGGUACUGGGCUCUUGGAUUUGCAGGUCAGAGUAUGUGUGUGGAGGAUACCCCUGCGGUUCCUAAACGGUCUGUGGAAGCAUAAUGCAGGGAAGGGCAUGGGCGACUGUCAUGACAGGAUG
This 520-nucleotide long non-coding RNA is filed under the name Lathyrus oleraceus (garden pea). RNAcentral describes it as "Pisum sativum (pea) long non-coding RNA (PSAT_LNC008843)". Lineage: Eukaryota; Viridiplantae; Streptophyta; Magnoliopsida; Fabales; Fabaceae. The record is from RNAcentral.